This 456-nucleotide ribosomal RNA is filed under the name uncultured bacterium. RNAcentral describes it as "bacterial SSU rRNA". It matches the Rfam family "Bacterial small subunit ribosomal RNA", at positions 28 to 507 of the family's 1533-position model. The record is from RNAcentral.
GACGAACGCUGGCGGCGUGCUUAACACAUGCAAGUCGAACGGGAGUAUUGAAGAAGCUUGCUUUAGAGAUACUUUAGUGGCGGACGGGUGAGUAACGCGUGAGGAGCUGUCCUAUGCAGGGGGACAACAGCUGGAAACGGCUGCUAAUACCCCAUAAGCCGAGAGGUAAAAGGAUCAAUCCGGCAGAGGAGGUACUCGCGUCCUAUCAGCUAGUAGGUGAGGUAACGGCUCACCUAGGCGAAGACGGGUAGCCGGCCUGAGAGGGCGAACGGCCACACUGGAACUGAGAUACGGUCCAGACUCCUACGGGAGGCAGCAGUGGGGAAUAUUGGGCAAUGGGGGAAACCCUGACCCAGCGACGCCGCGUGGGUGAAGAAAUCCUUCGGGAUGUAAAGCCCUGUUGUAUGGGAAGAGCGGAAGACGGUACCAUACGAGAAAGCCCCGGCAAACUACGUG